CAACUUCUCCCUCUGUCCCAAAUUUCUUGUCUUAGAUUUGUCUAGAUACGGAUGUAUCUAAUACUAAAAUGUGACUUGAUACAUCCGUAUCUAGACAAAUCUAAGACAAGAAUUUUGGGACGGAGGGAGUACUUU
Non-coding RNA from Triticum aestivum (bread wheat), 135 nucleotides. NCBI's taxonomy places the organism in Eukaryota, Viridiplantae, Streptophyta, Magnoliopsida, Poales, Poaceae. The record is from Rfam.